AGAACGAACGCUGGCGGCAUGCCUAAUACAUGCAAGUCGAACGAACACUUCGGUGUUAGUGGCGCACGGGUGCGUAACGCGUGGGAAUCUGCCCUUGGGUUCGGAAUAACAGUUGGAAACGACUGCUAAUACCGGAUGAUAUCGAAAGAUCAAAGAUUUAUCGCCCAGGGAUGAGCCCGCGUAGGAUUAGCUAGUUGGUGAGGUAAAGGCUCACCAAGGCGACGAUCCUUAGCUGGUCUGAGAGGAUGAUCAGCCACACUGGGACUGAGACACGGCCCAGACUCCUACGGGAGGCAGCAGUAGGGAAUAUUGGACAAUGGGCGCAAGCCUGAUCCAGCAAUGCCGCGUGAGUGAUGAAGGCCUUAGGGUUGUAAAGCUCUUUUACCCGAGAUGACAAUGACAGUAUCGGAGAACAAGCCCGGCUAACUCCGCGCCGAGCACGCCGC
This 446-nucleotide ribosomal RNA is filed under the name uncultured soil bacterium. RNAcentral describes it as "bacterial SSU rRNA". It matches the Rfam family "Bacterial small subunit ribosomal RNA", at positions 26 to 518 of the family's 1533-position model. The record is from RNAcentral.